GGAUGCGAUCAUACCAGCACUAAAGCACCGGAUCCCAUCAGAACUCUGAAGUUAAGCAUGCUUGGGCGAGAGUAGUACUAGUAGUACUAGGAUGGGUGACCUCCUGGGAAGUUCUCGUGUUGCAUUCC
Molecule: ribosomal RNA, 128 nt
Filed under: Triticum dicoccoides
Lineage: Eukaryota; Viridiplantae; Streptophyta; Magnoliopsida; Poales; Poaceae
Source: RNAcentral